AGACCGCACUCUCCCUCUCUUUUUUUGGCUCUGGUCUCUUCUGCUCUCUGCUCUCUUCCGCCCACUCUCUAUCUUUAUGCUCGCUCGUCGCCCUCUCCUGUAUCUAUUCGGCGCGGUCGGGAUUGGGAUUUGAGGCAGGGUAGGGGGGUGGCGGCGGCGACGGCGACGGCGGAACUGCCUCCCGCCCGGCGCAGCUCUAGGCAGGCCGAUGAGACAGAGGAGCGAGGCGCGGGCGGCCGGCUGCGCGGCCUGUGCGCUGCUCCACCCCAACUUAACCAGAUAAGGUAGUCCGUAGGACGGUGACGCUCCUUCGUUACAGACAGAAGUUAGUAUGUAAUAUACUGUUGCUGCUACUGCUAUGGGGCGAUAGGAAGUUCUCCAGCAGUUGGUCGUCCGGCGGGGGGAGCUUCGUCCUUCCGAGUAGUCGUUUAUAGUGAAUACAAUCCUUGGGAUUUCGACACCGGAGUUUAGUCGUCUCCUUACCCUAAUUACCGCGAAGGUCCAGCGGCGACGGUGACUUCGGUGUCAGCUGGCCGAGUUUGGGAGCCGGAAGUCCCAGACAAGUCGGUUUGUCAAGACAUCUUGCAUCAGUUUUCUCAUUGUGUCACCUAUUCUCAUUUUACUCUUCUGGAGUACAGCUUCCACUGUUCAGUCUACUAAGUCUACUACUGUUCGGUGAACGCAAAUCCUUUUUCGGUCUGUGCUUUAAUUUCUUUCAGCUGUGUCCUCCACUCUUACGAAUACCAAGUCUUCUACUAGUAUUCGGUGUACCAUACUUAUAGUUGAGUCGUUUUCACCGAAGAUUAUUAUCGUGUUUAUUCUGGCAAAACAACUUCUGACGUGGUGAAUUCUGAGACGUUGGACUACUACUAAGUCUACUACUAGUAUUCGGUGAACAAGUCUCCAAGUUGGGUCGUUUUCCCCGAAGAUUAUUAUCGUGUUUAUUCGGGCAAAAUAACUUCCGACGUGUAUUCUAACACGUUAGAUUACUACUAAGUCUCCUACUCUUUGGUGAACGGUCGUCCAAUGGGUGAUUACGACGAGGUUUUUCAUCUCGAUCGUGGAGACUAAGUCUCCUACUCUUCGGUGACAGACGGGCUAAAAGUUCUCCAUGACGUCCAUGUAGACGCUCAUAGAGUUUAAGGUUCCUGUUCGAGGGCAGAUUGUUGUUCCCCGGUUUGUUAUUAAACUCACGAGGGGCCUUAAGUCAAUUUUCCGGUUCACUAUUGUUAUUAGUUUGUUCAAGUCGAGAAUUCUUCCGGUUUAGAAGACUACGAAGACGGAGUCCUUCACAGUUUUCUCUUAGGUUCCUACUACUGUUAUUGUCACAUGGGCAGCUUUCCUUUGACUGUGGCCCCCUCAGAAGUUUUUCGUUCGGUGGACAUUUCUUAUAACAUUUCUUCUCAGGAAAUAGACAAUUCUUCCUGUUAUUCUGUAAGUUUUGUUUUUGUUUCUUUUGUUACUUUUCAAGGGUCAAGAGUUUUAGUGACUCCCACGGAGGUCCUAGACCGCCACCUUUCUUUACCAGAUGAAACCUCGUGUUACCACAAUAAAAGGGGGGAGGUAUGUUGGGGGUACCGCAGUUUUACGAAAUGUUACCCGUUGGACAACUCGACUGAGGUCUUCUCCUCCUCCAACGUUGGUACAAACGACACUACUUUCUGUGCCUCAUGCGUCGUUUCUUUUGUAAAUAGCUGUUGAAAAAACCACUGACCUUUUUUUAAGAACCAUUUUUGGUAUAGUAGUUCUUUAAACUCGAAACACUGAAGUGGGGAUAAAUACUUACCGUGGAGUCUCUCUUCCUCUUCUUCUUUGUCUACUGUAGUCUCCUCUUCUUUCGUAACUUCCUUCUCUUUAACUUUGUUCUCCUCUUCAUAUACACCCGACAACAACUACCACAAUCUCUCUUCCAACCGUUAAAGUCUCAUCUUGGUGGUCCGAACAAGUCCCCUGCUCCUCUCGUAGGAUUCUACCCUUUUGACUUCUUUGCAUAAGCAGGUUCACUAUAAUGAUAUUUGUAACCCUUUCCGUGACGUCAGGGUCUCACAGGUUAUCUCCCUCUUUCGACCUUUCUUCAGUUUGUACUGUUAUGACAAUGUACCAACCGGAAAACCUUACUGGGCUAAUCGGUUUUUCUAAAGUUCAUACAAAAGAACCGUCGUUCGUCGAGUGAUUUCCCUGUCUCACUGUUCCUCUUUAUACUCUUCAGGGCUUUUAACUUCCUAGUGUAUGUGUUGUAAGCACAUUUAAUGUGCUUCCUAAAGUUCUCGUUACUACAGAGUUUCUUCGUUUAACGUCACCGUUGUAUGGAGUAUCUAUUUGAUCGGGAAUCCCGACCAUUACUCUUCCUACUACUACUCCGACUAUGACAACCAACAACAUGCGACUUCCAACUAUUACAAUGGACACACGGAGGUUUAUUCGAAGUCAAACUGAAGGAACCAUUUCUAAGAUAUUCUAUAAAGUUGUGACAUCUCCAACUUAAUGGACACAUGUUACGCUAACUCCUUAAGGCUUGACCGUUUUUCCUGCCUCUAGGACAGAAACUGUUCGAACUAUGUUGCUUUGAUUUAGUAGUAGACUUCCUGAACUACGGACCGGAAUGACGCUUUCACAAGGCAUGUAUAUUACGAAGCUAAUGGAACCUACGAUAGAACGUACUUCUUUGUCUUCUACCUUGGGAAGAACUUUUCUAACGACAGAUAGUUGCUCGUUUGUUUCUCCAACGAUAUUAGACAUUGGUAGUCGCACGACACAGUUUCAGUGUACUAUGGGUCUACUGAUUCGACUUACUUUUCUAACUGCUUAAUUUCCGGGUCUAGCUACUCGACUUGUUUCUAAACCCGUUUCACUUCUCUCCUUUCGGAGAUCCGUUGCCACGUCUACCCUUCGGUUUCUCUUGAAACCGUGGACUUCGCUAACUCUUCUUCUAGAGAGUCUAUCUUUGGUUCUAUCUCUUUUACCUCUACCUAUUCUUCUGCUUCCUCCUAAACUUCUGCCACCGUAAUCCCUGUAGUUUCUAGUUGAUGGAACUAGGGUCUUAAUGCCAUCGUACCACGUUUUGGGUACUUCAGGGAUAACUCUUCUAAAAGUCGUUCUGCUAAGAACGCUUCAAACCUACCCGUUACCUACAGCUCGGCCUAAAGUCUAAGAUUCUCAUAACCGAAGGCCCACUCGGUUACCGGGGAACCAUUUAAGCUAAGUCGAAGGUCCGGAAGAGGGCCUGGGGAUUGACGUUGAUCAUCAUUUCCUUCUCGAGCCACAAACAAAAAAUUCAGGGGGACGAGGACCUUCUUCCUUCGUGGGUCGUAAGAGAAACAUCCGAGAAAAAAAAAGAAAGAUGGGUAGAAGAGAAGACAUGAACGAUACCGGGUUAACGGAUUUCAGCACAAAACGUAAAGUAAACCCGACUGCCUAAAAUCGAACAACUCUUGACUACCUGUAAGUAAAAUAUGGCCUAGUUAGAGUUUAUAUCUACUGGACAGUCUCACUACCAACACCUAAGCAAACUUGCUCCUUCGUUUGACACAACAAACUACGUCAACUCAUGACCAACACACUACGACUCCACAUUCAAAACUAGCUUUUCACAAACAAGCACCAUUGAUACGUGGCACCCCAUACUUAAACCCCCAUAUACGAGGUACUCGCACGCACCGACGCACACGCCAAAACGACUGUGACUCCGAGACAAGCCAUUACCAGGCGAGACCCUUAGACACCUCUCCUAUUUACCGUUGAGGUGGUAAAACUGGAUGUCGAGGCGGAUGAGGCGAGACCCUCGACACCUCGCCUCACUGCGGCUUGUCGGGGACUCUAGACCAAGACCGACCGUCCAGCUAAACGGAGAAAGCAAAACAGGAUAUUAUCUCACCACACUAAAAACAACGUUAAAACCCUUUGCCCAACAUGUUCCCUCAGAUUUCGACACCACGGUGGCCUCACUUUAACCUCGACCAUGACAAGUAUAAAAGAACCUAGGUGUCACCCUCACCACU
Molecule: ribosomal RNA, 3998 nt
Filed under: Triticum aestivum (bread wheat)
Lineage: Eukaryota; Viridiplantae; Streptophyta; Magnoliopsida; Poales; Poaceae
Description: partial small subunit ribosomal RNA
Source: RNAcentral